GUUGUAUUUGCUGUAUUUGCUCCAAAGCCUUGCCCGCCACAAGAGCGAUCUGCAGUAGUACUACUAGUGCAGUCUGAAAACGUUGCAAUUACAAGAAAAUUAUAGAAUUUCACCGUGAGACAUCGGUCUAUCCACUUCAAUGGUAUUCGUCGUUCCAUUAUAAUUUACAGGGAAACUUUCAGAUUGGAGAAUAAGUAAAUACCUAAUUUAUAUUGCUUUCAGUUUUAUCUGAAUUAGAAUCGCCGCACAUAACAUAAAUUCUUUUUGGUUCUAUGUCACAGCUUUGGCUUCUUCAGCUGUAAAGGAGUAUCGAACACUAAAGAACGCUAAAGAACUUUCGAAAUUCACUGGCGCACGAUAAUCAACGACAACCGAUCGAUCGAGCAUAAUUCUUUGCGUAAAAUCGCUUUCGCUCUUUAGCACACUUGGAGGAAAAUUGAUUCCACUAAAAUGACUCGAAGGAAUUUCGAUCAUUCUCUACUGGACUCGCCGAAUUUCAGUCCAUCGGACAGAGAAAGAUAAAAAUCACAGAAAGAGAGGAUGCAAAGGAAGAAGUUAGAGAAUAUAAAA
Molecule: long non-coding RNA, 570 nt
Filed under: Polistes fuscatus (common paper wasp)
Lineage: Eukaryota; Metazoa; Arthropoda; Insecta; Hymenoptera; Vespidae
Description: uncharacterized LOC122515534
Source: RNAcentral